Molecule: long non-coding RNA, 793 nt
Filed under: Mytilus galloprovincialis (Mediterranean mussel)
Lineage: Eukaryota; Metazoa; Mollusca; Bivalvia; Mytilida; Mytilidae
Source: RNAcentral
GCUAACAAAGCUUCCAUACAACAAAUAUAGUUGACCUACUACUUAUAGUUUAAGAAAAAUAGACCAAAACACAAAAACUUAACACUGAGCAAUGAACCGUGCAAUUGAGGUCAUGGUCAAAUAAAACCUGCGGGACUGACAUAUAGAUCAUAAAUAUUUCCAUACACCAAAUAUAGUUGACCUUUGGCAUAUAAUAUUAGAUAUAAUAAAAGACCAAAACUUAUAAACUUAACUUUGACCACUGAACCAUGAAAACGAGGUCAAGGUCAGAUGACAUCUGCCCGCUAGACAUGUACACCUUACAAUCAUUCCAUACAACAAAUAUAGUAGACCUAUUGCAUAAAGUAUGAGAAAAACAGACCAAAACACAAAAACUUAACUAUAACCACUGAACCAUGAAAAUGAGGUCAAGGUCAGAUGACACCUGCCAGUUGGACAUGUACACCUUCUAGUCCUUCCAUACACCAAAUAUAUUAGCCCUAUUGCUUAUAGUAUCUGAGAUAUGGACUUGACCACCAAAACUUAACCUUGUUCACUGAUCCAUGAAAUGAGGUCGAGGUCAAGUGAAAACUGUCUGACGGGCAUGAGGACCUUGCAAGGUACGCACAUACCAAAUAUAGUUAUCCUAUUACUUAUAAUAAGAGAGAAUUUAACAUUACAAAAAUUCCGAACUUUUUUUUCAAGUGGUCACUGAACCAUGAAAAUGAGGUCAAGGACAUUGGACAUGUGACUGACGGAAACUUCGUAACAUGAGGCAUCUAUAUACAAAGUAUGAAGCAUCCAGGUCUUUCAC